RNAcentral lists this long non-coding RNA (1598 nucleotides) under Homo sapiens (human). RNAcentral's name for it is "non-protein coding lnc-UBR2-1:2". Lineage: Eukaryota; Metazoa; Chordata; Mammalia; Primates; Hominidae. The record is from RNAcentral.
CUUGAGCCCACGGGGUUGAGGCUGCAGUGAGCAGAUUGCCCCACUGCACUCCAGCCUGGGUGACAGCGCAAGACUCUGUCUCAAAAAAUAAAAUUAUAUAUAUAGAGAGAGGGAGAGAGAGAGAGAGAAAGAGAGCACCAAAAGGACUGGGAAACACCGGCAGAUGCACAGACAAUGCAUCCCUGAUUUUACCAAUAGACUUGACUCCCAACAAUGCAUACUCUUGAAGGCAAUCCACAGGUUGAAUAAACCAAGUCCAUGAGCGCUGGGUCUGGAAUCUUUCUACAAUCAGGGUCAGAAGGAGGGUGACUGAAAUUAAAAUAUUAGCUUGGAUCUUUGAAAUCAGAGUCAGGCUGAAAAAGUCCCAAUCUUAGUUCAAAACCUGUCCUGCAUGACUGAAGCCCUCCUAGGGCUGCACAAAGUAUAAUGGAAUUAUUAUUAUUAUUAUCAUUAGAUCCUAGUCUUACCAUUCUCAGCACUUAUCCCCAUAGCAAAAGACCAUUUUUUAAUGUAAUUUAUUCUUUUGGAAUAGGUUGAAUGCAUUCACAUGGUUCCAAAUUCAAAUAAACAGCAAGAAGUCUCCCUCCCACCCUGUCUGCCACCCACUUGGUUUUCCUUCUCUGGAGGCAACCUGGGUUAGUGGUCAGAAGAUGCAUUUAACUGUUUUCCAGCUGAGGCCUUGUGAGAACUCCUCGGACACCAAUUUAAAUCUUUAUGUCCAGAACUCCUUUCUCCAAUCCAGGUAGAGCCACUCCCCUAUCCUAUCCCCACUCCCACCCUUCCCCCCUUCAGCCUCAAUCCUAAGCAGGCUCUAUUAACAAUGAUGAGCCACCAUUUCCUCGAGCUACUAACAAAUGCAAAUGUUUAAAUACUUUGUGGUUCUUUUUCCUCUUCUACAUUAAUUGCUAACAUUUAUCGAGGGCUUUCCGUGUGCCACGCACUGUGCUAAAUACUAGGCAUGCAUAUUCUUAUUUAAUCUGCCCCAAAUCUUCAUCAUUAUCCUUAUUUACAGAUGCAGACAGAAAUGAAAGUUCAGAGAGAUUAUGUAAUUUGCACCAAUUUGCAUCCAGGCCAACCUGAAUCCAAACCCUAUCUCUUUUUACUUUUUCUUUCCUUUUUUUUUUUUUUUUUAAACAGGGUCUCACUCUUGUCAGCCCAGAUGGCAUGCAGUGGCACAGUCUAUGGAGGCAAUCAGGGUUAGCUGUCAGCUCACUGUGGCCUCAACCUCCCAGGCGAGAUGAGGUUCCACCAUUCUUGCCCAGACUGGUUUCGAACUCCUGGACUCAAGCGAUUUGCCUGCCUCGGCCUCAAAAAGUGCUGGGAUUACAUGCAUGAGCCACCACACCCGGACCCUCUCUCUUAAAUAGUGGCCCUUUUGCCUCUCUGCAACACAGGAAAAAUUCUGUUAGCCUGCAUCAGAAGGAGUGGCAUGGAGGCUUUGGAGUUAAGAAGAUUUAAUUCAAAUUAUGUGUCCGGUGCCUGCCAGCAAUGAGACCUUGGUAAGGUUUCUUAACCUCUCUGAGCUGGGACCAUACCUUCUGCGUUGGUUUAAUAUAAAGGUUAAAUGCAUGUAAAUAAAUGACUUCUAAAAUAAAUAA